This 166-nucleotide ribosomal RNA is filed under the name uncultured bacterium. RNAcentral's name for it is "partial 16S ribosomal RNA". It matches the Rfam family "Bacterial small subunit ribosomal RNA", at positions 338 to 502 of the family's 1533-position model. The record is from RNAcentral.
CCUACGGGGGGCAGCAGUGAGGAAUAUUGCGCAAUGCCCGCAAGGGUGACGCAGCGACGCCGCGUGAAGGAUGAAGGCCCUAUGGGUCGUAAACUUCUGUUGAAGGGGAAGAAUAUGCCGCUAUAGGCGGCAUUGACGGUACCCUUAGAGAAAGCACCGGCUAACU